UAAAAAAAGAAACAGAGAGAAAAAGAAAGAAAGAAAGAAAGAAAGAGUGUCUUUCGUUCUUCGUUUCUCUUCUCUCUGCUUUGGUCCGCUCUGUUUCUUCUUUCAUCCCUUCUUCUUUCAUUAAAAGGAGAGGAAAGGAAGGAAAGAAAGAA
This 152-nucleotide non-coding RNA is filed under the name Aurantiochytrium limacinum. The record is from RNAcentral. Lineage: Eukaryota; Bigyra; Thraustochytrida; Thraustochytriidae.